Molecule: transfer RNA, 64 nt
Filed under: Cavia porcellus (domestic guinea pig)
Lineage: Eukaryota; Metazoa; Chordata; Mammalia; Rodentia; Caviidae
Rfam family: tRNA
About the family: Transfer RNA (tRNA) molecules are approximately 80 nucleotides in length.
Source: Rfam by way of RNAcentral
GGGGAUUUAGCUUAGCAGCAUAAGCACCUGCCUGACAAGCAUGAGGUGGUGAGUUCAAUCCCUC